AUAAUGUACUUUGUCCUGGAUGUGUCUAACUUCCUGCACUGUAAGGAUGAUCUCCUGCAGUCAUUCUGCCAUGUCUUCAGUAUCCCAUCUGCAUUUUCCCAGCAGAUCUGUGGAUUCUGGCUUCUAGAUCACGGAUUAGUAACAGACUCAAUUAAUGUCUUAUUGAGCCCAAGAGCAUGUCCUCCAACACUGCCAUGGCACCAUUAUGCUGUUCUGAGGACCUUAUUGAAGACAGGAGAGAACCGAGCAGCACUGAAGUAUCUCUACAGCAUCACACCAGUCAUGGAGAACAUUCAAGACAUCAAACUCUGUGUGGAUGUGUUAAUACACAACAAAUGUAUCUCUGAGGCCUGGGCUCUGAUUAGAGGACUCCAAACUAAAGAUGUUCACCUGUUUAAACAUUUCAUUCAUGUCUGUGAGAAUCAUGGGAUUUGUAGUAAUACGGUGGCCUCUCUGUGUGAGGUGAUUCUAGAUAUCGUAAUGAUUUUCACCCUGGGAUAACUGGUAAACUCUGAAUUUGGUAAAAUGAUGGUAUAAACAAAUUUGUUCUUUGCCAUCCAUCUAUUUUUUGUGGCAGGGGUUGGCUCAUCUCCAGCUGAUAGAAAGCCAAAAUAUGCAGUCCAGUGAAUCACAAAUUCUGAAGCAAGAAAGAGUAGGUCAAAAACCAGUAAGAACUGAAGCAGGUAAACUACAGCUGCUUUCAUCUCAAAUAUACUGUUGCAUGUUAGCUGAAAUUAUACAGUUCUCACAUUCUAUGUAAAUUAUUUGGUUUGGCUGUAUGGGUGAUGGAGGUGAAGGACAAACUCCUCGUCCACUGUCUGCAUGGCUGUACCACAUGCAUGACCCCCUGACUCUAGGAGAUUUUGUCAAGAUACUCAGGCAGUCUAUAUUUGAAAUAUGUCCUUUACCAAAGAAAAGAAGAGUGGUGCUGUUGCUGCCAAAGUACCUGGAGAAUAGUGUGAACAGUGCACAACUCUCAUGUCAUGUUGCUAACAGCACAUCAGUUGACAUUCAUUGUAAGUUCAAGCAAAGAGCUGUUGAGGAAGAGUGUGAGGAAGACCUGCCUCUGCAGCCAGAGGAGGACAUGAAUGAUUCUCCAGUGUUCUCCUCUCCCUCCACAUCUCCUGACAGCAUGGAGUCUGUUGGCUUUUUUAAAUCUCCCUGCUCUUCACCACCAGCUGUCUGCUCAGAAGCCCCAUCUGCACAGGAACCCAUCCUCCUAAAGCAGAACUCUUCUGCUGUGCCUGAAGAGGAGGAAAGCCACAUCCCAGAUGAGGACAAAACUCUGGCAGACAUGAUCCCUGGCAGUUCCGAUCUAACCCUCACUCUAGACAGCACCACAGAGGCGCUAUCCAUCAACAGCCUGAGCAGGGAAAGUGUGGUUAUAGAGAAGAUUUUCCCUGGUGUGGAAACUGGAGUCAUCUCACACUCAGCUGAGGGUGUUGCAGUAGAAGCUCCACAUGCAGAGAGGAGACUCUUGAGCACACUUAACCUUCACCCUAACUGCUACAGUAAUGAGGACAAUCAGUCAGUGUGCUCACUUCCCGAGAUCCCCGCGGAGAGUCAUAACUUUUUAUCACCCAGUCAUGAGAAGUUAACUUACAAUAAAACUGUGGAUGAUGCUGUGAGCAUUAAGCCCAAGAAUCUGACUGAGACUGAAGAGUGGAUCAUUUCACCCAGUCAGCCAAAAACAGAGUUUGUUUGCCUGCAGGAUUCUAAAGCGUCAAGAACCAGCAGCUUUCUAGAGCUGAAAUCCUUAAGGCGGGCGCUGUCUCCCUCACGAGUGGAGGAAUGCCAGGAAGACUUCUUCCAUAAUCCUGAAGAUGCCAUAGACCAGCCAGAAAUCCUCACUUCCUGCGCCAUCACAAAUACCAUGCACAACCUCCUGGCUCAUCUCCAACAUGCUGACGUCUUAGUAGAUGAUCGAGAACCCUACCAGGCCUGUUCCUUAAGUGCCCUUAAAAGCUCCAUCGUGGAUAUGGGCCUCAUCCAUCUCUCCCAACGAUCCCGGCAGCUCCAGAAUCCUGCUGGUUCCCAGUCCAGCCCCGUCCACACCCAGCAGCUCAGUCUUUCUCAGCAGUCCAGACACCGGUCCUCCAGCGAGUCCAGGAUCACUAGCACAAAAGAAGCAGUGUGUUUCCGGACCACCUCAGACCGGGUGGGUCACUGUAAGCUGGGCAGCUGGUGGAAACAGGCGCUGGAAACUCGACGGGCUUCAACCGGACUGCUUCCUGCUUUAGAGCAGGUUUCUCCUACACGAGAAAAACGGACAUUUCCUGUUGCACGAUGUCCCCAACCUCAUUGGCUUGGAAGCUUCUUAGAUCUUCCAUCCAAUCCAAGAGUGGAAAAACGAGAGGGCAAACAGGAAGAGAAAGAUGAAGUAACAGGCUGGAGAGGAUCUCUUAAAGUGACCAUUAAUCAGAUUGAUCAUAGACCAACUUCACAUCAAGGCCAUCGACGAAAAAUGAGGAAACAAAUCAAACGAGCUUAAAAAAUAAAUAAAUAAAAAAUAGCAAAUGCUGUUUGCAUAUAUAGGGAACUAAGUGACUGUUGCAAUCAUAAGUUUAACAUAUUAUACAUUAAUUAAAGGGUGUUAUUACAAUUGUCAUAUGUAAAUGUUUAGUUGAUCAAAAUAUCACAAUAAAGUCAUGUACAAAACUUAAACUGAUGGGGAAAAAAUGUAUGCGUGCAUAUUAGCCAACCACAUCUUAUUAUAUAUCUUGUGUGUGUGUGUAUAUAUAUAUAUAUAUAUAUAUAUAUAUAUAUAUAUAUAUAUAUAUAUAUAUAUAUAUAAAUAUAUAUAUAUAUAUAUAUAUACACCAAAUGUUAACAAUAUAAAUGUUAAAAUUACAAAUAUUAUGAACAUGCUUUUAAUUAUGUAUCU
Molecule: long non-coding RNA, 2884 nt
Organism: Cyprinus carpio carpio
Lineage: Eukaryota; Metazoa; Chordata; Actinopteri; Cypriniformes; Cyprinidae
Source: Ensembl